CCACCCGUGGUUCAGAGGUUAGAGUGUUGGACUUCUGAUCGACAGGUCACGGGUUCGAGCCUCGGGUGGG
Molecule: transfer RNA, 70 nt
Filed under: Schistocephalus solidus
Lineage: Eukaryota; Metazoa; Platyhelminthes; Cestoda; Diphyllobothriidea; Diphyllobothriidae
Rfam family: tRNA
About the family: Transfer RNA (tRNA) molecules are approximately 80 nucleotides in length. Their secondary structure includes four short double-helical elements and three loops (D, anti-codon, and T loops).
Source: Rfam by way of RNAcentral